RNAcentral lists this unclassified non-coding RNA (1323 nucleotides) under Hevea brasiliensis (rubber tree). The record is from RNAcentral. Lineage: Eukaryota; Viridiplantae; Streptophyta; Magnoliopsida; Malpighiales; Euphorbiaceae.
CGGUGGUCAAUCUUGAAAAUACACAAAACAUCCAAAUUUGCCUCAUCAGGUAUCUAUUUCAAAGCUACUUUCGUGCAUGAAUCCUUUCUCCUUUGAAAUGGUUCUUUCAAGUUCACUAACGAUAAAAGACAUUGUAGGUCUCAUAAUCGGGGUCUGCUUGAUGCAUUUUAUGGCUAGAUCCAAAAUAACCUUAGCCUGAUCUUGAUUAUCACUUGGAAUUUUUAAUUUUUUAUCGAUCAACUCCAAAGUCAUUUUCUUUUCAUGAAAAGAUAUAGCCUUGUGUACUAAAAGUUGCAUUUUGUGGUUUGACAUAGACAUACACUCUUCCCCACUAACAAUUUCAAGCAUGACCACCCCAAAGUUGUAAACAUCAGCUUGAACUGUUACAGGAAAUCCAUAUAAACACUCGGGUGCCAUAUAUUGUCUUCCUUCAUUUGUGUUGAAUGGCAUAAAUGGAUCGACCUCAUAAACUGUAGCGAAUCCAAAAUCAGCUAAUUUAGCCGCAUAGGUUUUAUCAAGUAUAAUAUUAUUGGAUUUUACAUUUCCAUGAACAAUUUUCAACUUUCUUUUCUCUUCUUUAUUUUCUUUCCAUUUUGUUUCUUUUUCCUCUUUUUUUUCCCCAUUCUUAUAUAAAAACUUCAAAUUUUUUGCUGUAAUUCCCAACCACAUGUCAAAUCUAUUUUUCCAACCAAGUUUUAUUCCUUUCCUUUCUUUUUCUUUCUCUUCUUUUCCUUUCACUUCUCUUUCCUCCCCUUCAUGUAGAUACUUCAAACCGUUUGCUAUUCCCAAGCAGAUCUCAAGUCUAUCCUUCCAACCAAGUGUUUUGUUUGACACGAACAGGUCAUGAUGAAGGGAGGGCUUUUCCAAAUCUUCAUAUAUUAGCAGAUGUAGGUUCUUCUUAGAAUAGCCAUCCAAUAGUUUAACUAGGUUGUUAUGUCUCAAGGAUAACAAGUUUGUAAUUUCCUUUUGUAGUUCCACUUUUUCUUGCUGCUUUAAUUCAGGAGAUAUCUUUUUCACUGUUAAUUUGAUCUGAUUUGGCAGUUUAGCCUUGUAUAAUUUCCCAAAACGGUCUUCACCAAUCACCAUUCUAGGGCUAAAAUUUCGAGUAGCGUUUAUUAUCUGCCUUAGGGUAAACUUUUUGUCUUCAACCUGUAUUAUUUUUUCAUCCAACUCGUUCUUUCCUAACCAGCCCAUUUUCCUCAUGACAAACAAUACAAGUAAGAAAGUAAAAGCUGAACCCAGUGUAAACCCUGCUAUUUUCACUGGAGAUAGUUUCUUGUUAUGAUUACUUGGAAUCACAGAAAUGGCUGACAAAAGAGGUCC